UCCCCGGUAGCUCAGCGGUAGAGCAGGAAGCUGUUAACUUCAAGGUCGCUGGUUCGAAUCCAGCCCGGGGAGCCA
RNAcentral lists this transfer RNA (75 nucleotides) under Microgenomates group bacterium ADurb.Bin238. RNAcentral describes it as "tRNA-Asn". It matches the Rfam family "tRNA". From Rfam's summary of the family: Transfer RNA (tRNA) molecules are approximately 80 nucleotides in length. Their secondary structure includes four short double-helical elements and three loops (D, anti-codon, and T loops). The record is from RNAcentral. RNAcentral also lists the same sequence under 1 other name.